This 75-nucleotide transfer RNA is filed under the name Patescibacteria group bacterium. Its description in RNAcentral is "tRNA-Arg". It matches the Rfam family "tRNA". From Rfam's summary of the family: Transfer RNA (tRNA) molecules are approximately 80 nucleotides in length. Their secondary structure includes four short double-helical elements and three loops (D, anti-codon, and T loops). The record is from RNAcentral.
GCCCCCAUAGUUCAAUGGAUAGAACGGCUCACUCCUAACGAGCAGAUCCAUGUUCGACUCAUGGUGGGGGCACCA